CACCCGAGACUCAGUGAAAUUGAACUCGCUGUGAAGAUGCAGUGUACCCGCGGCAAGACGGAAAGACCCCGUGAACCUUUACUAUAGCUUGACACUGAACAUUGAGCCUUGAUGUGUAGGAUAGGUGGGAGGCUUUGAAGUGUGGACGCCAGUCUGCAUGGAGCCGACCUUGAAAUACCACCCUUUAAUGUUUGAUGUUCUAACGUUGACCCGUAAUCCGGGUUGCGGACAGUGUCUGGUGGGUAGUUUGACUGGGGCGGUCUCCUCCUAAAGAGUAACGGAGGAGCACGAAGGUUGGCUAAUCCUGGUCGGACAUCAGGAGGUUAGUGCAAUGGCAUAAGCCAGCUUGACUGCGAGCGUGACGGCGCGAGCAGGUGCGAAAGCAGGUCAUAGUGAUCCGGUGGUUCUGAAUGGAAGGGCCAUCGCUCAACGGAUAAAAGGUACUCCGGGGAUAACAGGCUGAUACCGCCCAAGAGUUCAUAUCGACGGCGGUGUUUGGCACCUCGAUGUCGGCUCAUCACAUCCUGGGGCUGAAGUAGGUCCCAAGGGUAUGGCUGUUCGCCAUUUAAAGUGGUACGCGAGCUGGGUUUAGAACGUCGUGAGACAGUUCGGUCCCUAUCUGCCGUGGGCGCUGGAGAACUGAGGGGGGCUGCUCCUAGUACGAGAGGACCGGAGUGGACGCAUCACUGGUGUUCGGGUUGUCAUGCCAAUGGCACUGCCCGGUAGCUAAAUGCGGAAGAGAUAAGUGCUGAAAGCAUCUAAGCACGAAACUUGCCCCGAGAUGAGUUCUCCCUGACUCCUUGAGAGUCCUGAAGGAACGUUGAAGACGACGACGUUGAUAGGCCGGGUGUGUAAGCGCAGCGAUGCGUUGAGCUAACCGGUACUAAUGAACCGUGAGG
RNAcentral lists this ribosomal RNA (899 nucleotides) under Escherichia coli. Its description in RNAcentral is "partial 23S ribosomal RNA". It matches the Rfam family "Bacterial large subunit ribosomal RNA", at positions 2023 to 2916 of the family's 2925-position model. Lineage: Bacteria; Pseudomonadati; Pseudomonadota; Gammaproteobacteria; Enterobacterales; Enterobacteriaceae. The record is from RNAcentral.